UGGGGAAUUUUGGACAAUGGGGGCAACCCUGAUCCAGCCAUGCCGCGUGUGUGAAGAAGGCCUUCGGGUUGUAAAGCACUUUCGGACGGAACGAAAUCGCGCGGGCGAAUACCCCGCGUGGAUGACGGUACCGUAAGAAGAAGCACCGGCUAACUACGUGCCAGCAGCCGCGGUAAUACGUAGGGUGCGAGCGUUAAUCGGAAUUACUGGGCGUAAAGUGUGCGCAGGCGGCCGAGCAAGUCGAGUGUGAAAGCCCCGAGCUUAACUUGGGAAUUGCGCUCGAAACUACUUGGCUGGAGUGUGGCAGAGGAGGGUGGAAUUCCACGUGUAGCGGUGAAAUGCGUAGAUAUCGGGAGGAACACCUGUGGCGAAGGCGGCCACCUGGUUGGAUACUGACGCUGAGACGCGAAAGCGUGGGGAGCAAACAGGAUUAGAUACCCUCCUAGUCCCUGAGCGGGCUGGCAAGGCGCAU
RNAcentral lists this ribosomal RNA (472 nucleotides) under uncultured bacterium. RNAcentral describes it as "bacterial SSU rRNA". It matches the Rfam family "Bacterial small subunit ribosomal RNA", at positions 355 to 825 of the family's 1533-position model. The record is from RNAcentral.